AUGUCCAGCAGUACAGAGGGCCACAGGUUUAGGAUUCUUGGAAUGAGCUCUCUCUACUUAACACAGCCUUUCGACACUUGUGUAAUAGAGUUCCCAGUUGGCAAGGGUUGUGUCAUUUAUCGCUAAAGUUCUUGGCCCAGUGCCUGACACAUAGGUGUUUUGGUUUUUUUUUUGGUGUUUGGUUUUUAUACUAGUGAACAAGUAAGCCAUUGCUGGGUGGUGUCAGUGAGUGCUGUGGCCUUUUUCCCUUUCUGCAGGAGUGGAAUGAAACAGCUUGUUUUGUAUCCCAGUAUAUACCUUAUCUGUAGCACUAUUCUCAUUCCUCUGUCUCCUUUCGGUCCCCACAGUGAGUAGGGACAACAGGGCAGUACCACAUCCUUAGAGUCCUCUAAAUCAGGAGUUGGUGCCAGCUACACAUUUUUAUAAAUGAAGUUUUAUUAGACCACAGCCGUGCCCAUUCAUUUAAGUAUUGUCAAUGGAUGCAUUGUGCUAUAAUGGCAGAGUGGUUGCGGGAGAGACCACAUGGCCCACAAAGCCUGAAAUAUUUAUUAUCUGGCCCUUGAGAGCCCCUGCUGCAGCCACCUGGAGCCUGCAAGUUAUAUACAAGUUGUUAAUUAUAUCCUUUAAAAACCAAAGCCAGUUUUUAAUAAACAGUUUGGAGAAUCAAAGAUAAUACAGCAGAAAGAUGCAUUUGCUUUGUUCUAAUAAUGAUUAAUUUCUGUAAGAGGUCCUGACUGUAAAAAUAAGGAAUAUUUCCACAAAUUAAAGGUCAAAAGUUAUUUAAUAUGUUGAAUGAAACAUUUGGGUAUGUUGGAAAGAGAGUAUGCUCUAGGAGGCAAAAAAGGGGUUCCCCUCAGGAGGUCCCUUUCGGGAUCUGAUCCAGUUCCCUGACUUGGGGAAAGAGAAGCCUCUGGGCUGGACUUCGCCAUGUGUCCUCUGCCACACGCACACCCACUUGGAGGCUCUGAUCCCUGAGAAGGGCAGUGUCUGCAUAAAGGACAUAUGUCUUUAGGGUGUUUUACAUUACUGGAAAGAAAGGUUUCUAAAAAUAAACCCAGGUUCUUAAUUUUGGUUUAAGUACAGAUUUCUGUAAGUUUCCAAGUGUAUUACGAUUCUUUACAGUAUUGACUCACAGCUACUUAAAUGACCUAAACAUGUGGAGAAGAUGGGACACUUGCUGUUUCUGCCACAGACACUCACUUUAGGAAUGUGUAGAAAAUUAUUUUUUACUUUUGAGUGGGUAAAAGGCUGUUUGUAUCCCUCCAUAGUGGCCUUUUGUUCUUAGUUUGAAUACAUACAUAUAUACGUGUAGUAUUGUCAUCUAGAACUAUUUAAUUAUAAAUCCAAACGGUAGUACAGUUUAAAUGGUUCAGGUGUCUCCAGUUUUCCAGUCUGCUGGUUUCCCAAGUAUAUCCGGAGCUGGGGGAGCCAGUCUUGCUGUCCCCUUGGCUAGCCUCACUCCGUGCUUGCUGCUCACAUCGUGAGAAGCUGCUUGUUCUGAGGAUGACUCCUGAGUUCCAACACACAUUUCUCUUACAACACGUUUCUAAACCGAAGCCAACUCCUAGAUUCAGUACUUCGCUGAAGAAACCACUCUAAGAAAUCAUUCUACCCUUGAAUUUCACCAUGGGCACGUGCCCUGCCCUGCCCCCAUUAGUUGUGACCCCAGUGUACAUUUUGAAAAAUGAGGUUUCUGCUGUUGCUCCUUUCCUAAGUGUUCAUUGUGUAUUUUCAGUAACUAUAGCAAGUUUCUGAAAACAGUAAUUAUGUAUCUCCUGGCCUUGUGGGAUCUGCCCCAAAGCAUGCUCCCAGUAUAUCCCAUGACAGGCCAGCUACAAAAGAGUGGGCAGGACUGUGGGCCUUGUUGGGCCUUGUGUCCCAGCACCGUGCCUAGCCAGACUAGGUACUCGGUGAGCAUUACUUUUUAAAUGGAUGAAUGAAUACAUCGAUUUUAUUCAAAGUGAUUGAUGAUGACAUGCUUUCAAUUUCUUGAAUAAUUCUGUAGUGCUAAAUUGCCAGUAAAUGCAGAGGGAAUGUGAAAAUAAAAACAUUUUCUAAUUU
Callithrix jacchus (white-tufted-ear marmoset) is the source of this 2061-nucleotide non-coding RNA. The record is from RefSeq and is a predicted model, not a curated record. NCBI's taxonomy places the organism in Eukaryota, Metazoa, Chordata, Mammalia, Primates, Cebidae.